This 274-nucleotide non-coding RNA is filed under the name Dictyoglomus turgidum. RNAcentral's name for it is "T-box sequence". It matches the Rfam family "T-box leader". From Rfam's summary of the family: Uncharged tRNA acts as the effector for transcription antitermination of genes in the T-box leader family. T-boxes are found upstream of many aminoacyl-tRNA synthetase genes and some amino acid biosynthetic genes usually in Gram-positive bacteria. The anticodon of a specific tRNA base pairs to a specifier sequence within the T-box motif, and the NCCA acceptor tail of the tRNA base pairs to a conserved bulge in the T-box antiterminator hairpin. Lineage: Bacteria; Pseudomonadati; Dictyoglomota; Dictyoglomia; Dictyoglomales; Dictyoglomaceae. The record is from RNAcentral.
UUAAAGGCUGAGAACAGGAGGAGUAGCUCCCAAGCGGGAUCCAGAGAGGCCGGGUAAGGUGGAAGCCGGCUAUCUGCGCAGGGAGUGAAUGGGCCUGGGAGCUGCAUACUGAAAGGGAAGAUAAUGUUCUUCCUGAGUAAGCUAUGCCGGAGUAGCCACCGUUAUCAAGGCGAAGGGUAUCGGAGGCGAUGUGGUACUCCCGUACCCGAGAACGAGAUGGGCAAUGUAGCCCAAGAAAGGUGGCACCGCGAGAGUAAACCCUCUCGCCCUUUUA